CGGAGGAUCCAAGCGUUAUCCGGAAUCAUUGGGUUUAAAGGGUCCGUAGGCGGGUUUAUAAGUCAGUGGUGAAAGCCCAUCGCUCAACGAUGGAACGGCCAUUGAUACUGUAGAUCUUGAAUUAUUAGGAAGUAACUAAAAUAUGUAGUGUAGCGGUGAAAUGCUUAGAGAUUACAUGGAAUACCAAUUGCGAAGGCAGGUUACUACUAAUGGAUUGACGCUGAUGGACGAAAGCGUGGGUAGCGAACAGGAUUAGAUACCCUGGUAGUCCACGCCGUAAACGAUGGAUACUAGCUGUUCGGAGCAAUCUGAGUGGCUAAGCGAAAGUGAUAAGUAUCCCACCUGGGGAGUACGUUCGCAAGAAUG
This 366-nucleotide ribosomal RNA is filed under the name uncultured organism. Its description in RNAcentral is "bacterial SSU rRNA". It matches the Rfam family "Bacterial small subunit ribosomal RNA", at positions 526 to 896 of the family's 1533-position model. The record is from RNAcentral.